UUGCAAUGAUGCUUUGAAUUUCUUCAACUGAACAUAUCAUGUUGAUUGAAAUGAGCUUUUUAACUCUGAGCUAA
This is a small nucleolar RNA of Esox lucius (northern pike), 74 nucleotides long. The record is from Ensembl. NCBI's taxonomy places the organism in Eukaryota, Metazoa, Chordata, Actinopteri, Esociformes, Esocidae.